AGUGAACGCUGGCGGUAGGCCUAACGCAUGCAAGUCGAACGGCAGCACAGUAAGAGCUUGCUCUUACGGGUGGCGAGUGGCGGACGGGUGAGGAAUACAUCGGAAUCUACUUUUUCGUGGGGGAUAACGUAGGGAAACUUACGCUAAUACCGCAUACGACCUACGGGUGAAAGUAGGGGAUCUUCGGACCUUGCGCGAUUGAAUGAGCCGAUGUCGGAUUAGCUAGUUGGCGGGGUAAAGGCCCACCAAGGCGACGAUCCGUAGCUGGUCUGAGAGGAUGAUCAGCCACACUGGAACUGGGACACGGUCCAGACUCCUACGGGAGGCAGCAGUGGGGAAUAUUGGACAAUGGGCGCAAGCCUGAUCCAGCCAUACCGCGUGGGUGAAGAAGGCCUUCGGGUUGUAAAGCCCUUUUGUUGGGAAAGAAAAGCAGCAGGUUAAUACCCCGCUGUUCUGACGGUACCCAAAGAAUAAGCACCGGCUAACUUCGUG
This 492-nucleotide ribosomal RNA is filed under the name uncultured bacterium. RNAcentral's name for it is "partial 16S ribosomal RNA". It matches the Rfam family "Bacterial small subunit ribosomal RNA", at positions 29 to 507 of the family's 1533-position model. The record is from RNAcentral.